GCCGUGGUGGUGUAGUGGUAUCACACCCGAGGUCUUAACACGUGCGCAGUCAUUCGUUGUUACUCAACGCCGUGUCAGUCUAGAUCCGAGGAGGUCGCGGGUUCGAUUCCUGCCCAUGGUG
Transfer RNA from Aureobasidium pullulans, 121 nucleotides. It matches the Rfam family "tRNA". Rfam says of the family: Transfer RNA (tRNA) molecules are approximately 80 nucleotides in length. Their secondary structure includes four short double-helical elements and three loops (D, anti-codon, and T loops). Further hydrogen bonds mediate the characteristic L-shaped molecular structure. tRNAs have two regions of fundamental functional importance: the anti-codon, which is responsible for specific mRNA codon recognition, and the 3' end, to which the tRNAs corresponding amino acid is attached (by aminoacyl-tRNA synthetases). tRNAs cope with the degeneracy of the genetic code in two manners: having more than one tRNA (with a specific anti-codon) for a particular amino acid; and 'wobble' base-pairing, i.e. permitting non-standard base-pairing at the 3rd anti-codon position. NCBI's taxonomy places the organism in Eukaryota, Fungi, Ascomycota, Dothideomycetes, Dothideales, Saccotheciaceae. The record is from Rfam.